RNAcentral lists this ribosomal RNA (606 nucleotides) under uncultured bacterium. Its description in RNAcentral is "bacterial SSU rRNA". It matches the Rfam family "Bacterial small subunit ribosomal RNA", at positions 8 to 612 of the family's 1533-position model. The record is from RNAcentral.
AGAGUUUGAUCAUGGCUCAGAUUGAACGCUGGCGGCAGGCCUAACACAUGCAAGUCGAGCGCGAAAGCACUUCGGUGUGAGUAGAGCGGCGGACGGGUGAGUAAUGCUUGGGAAUCUACCUAGUAGUGGGGGACAACGUGUGGAAACGCACGCUAAUACCGCAUACGUCCUACGGGAGAAAGCAGGGGACCUUCGGGCCUUGCGCUAUUAGAUGAGCCCAAGUCGGAUUAGCUAGUUGGUGGGGUAAUGGCUCACCAAGGCUACGAUCCGUAGCUGGUCUGAGAGGAUGAUCAGCCACACUGGGACUGAGACACAGCCCAGACUCCUACGGGAGGCAGCAGUGGGGAAUAUUGCACAAUGGGCGAAAGCCUGAUGCAGCCAUGCCGCGUGUGUGAAGAAGGCUCUAGGGUUGUAAAGCACUUUCAGUAGGGAGGAAAAGCAUAUAGUUAAUAACUGUAUGCCGUGACGUUACCUACAGAAGAAGCACCGGCAAACUCCGUGCCAGCAGCCGCGGUAAUACGGAGGGUGCGAGCGUUAAUCGGAAUUACUGGGCGUAAAGCGCACGUAGGUGGUUUGAUAAGCUAGCUGUGAAAGCCCCGGGCUCAA